This 392-nucleotide ribosomal RNA is filed under the name uncultured bacterium. RNAcentral describes it as "partial 16S ribosomal RNA". It matches the Rfam family "Bacterial small subunit ribosomal RNA", at positions 523 to 918 of the family's 1533-position model. The record is from RNAcentral.
AUACGGAGGAUGCGAGCGUUAUCCGGAUUUAUUGGGUUUAAAGGGUGCGCAGGCGGCCAUUUAAGUCAGCGGUUAAAUCGUGGGGCUCAAUCCCAUUCUGCCGUUGAUACUGGGUGGCUUGAUUGCGGUCGAGGUUGGCGGAAUUCGUUGUGGAGCGGGGAAAUGCAUAGAAAUGACGAAGAACACCGAUUGCGUAGGCAGCUGACCAGACCGCAAAUGACGCUCAUGCACGAAAGUGCGGGGAUCGAACAGGAUUAGAUACCCUGGUAGUCCGCACAGUAAACGAUGAAUACUUGUUUUCGGCGAUAUAAUGUCGGAGGCAAAGCGAAAGCGAUAAGUAUUCCACCUGGGGAGUACGCCGGCAACGGUGAAACUCAAAUGAAUUGGCGGGG